UAGGGAAUCUUCCACAAUGGACGCAAGUCUGAUGGAGCAACGGCCGCGUGAGUGAAGAAGGUUUUCGGACCGUAAAGCUCUGUUGUUGGUGAAGAAGGAUAGAGGUAGUAACUGGCCUUUAUUUGACGGUAAUCAACCAGAAAGUCACGGCUAACUACGUGCCAGCAGCCGCGGUAAUACGUAGGUGGCAAGCGUUGUCCGGAUUUAUUGGGCGUAAAGCGAGCGCAGGUGGAAGAAUAAGUCUGAUGUGAAAGCCCUCGGCUUAACCGAGGAAUUGCAUCGGAAACUGUUUUCUUGAGUGCAGAAGAGGAGAGUAGAACUCCAUGUGUAGCGGUGGAAUGCGUAGAUAUAUGGAAGAAUACCAGUGGCGAAGGCGGCUCUCUGGUCUGCAACUGACGCUGAGGCUCGAAAGCAUGGGUAGCGAACAGGAUUAGAUACCCUGGUAGUCCAUGCCGUAAACGAUGAGUGCUAAGUGUUGGGAGGCUUCCGCCUCUCAGUGCUGCAGCUAACGCAUUAAGCACUCCGCCUGGGGGAGUACGACCGCAAGGUUGAA
This 553-nucleotide ribosomal RNA is filed under the name uncultured bacterium. RNAcentral's name for it is "partial 16S ribosomal RNA". It matches the Rfam family "Bacterial small subunit ribosomal RNA", at positions 355 to 898 of the family's 1533-position model. The record is from RNAcentral.